RNAcentral lists this ribosomal RNA (253 nucleotides) under uncultured bacterium. RNAcentral's name for it is "partial 16S ribosomal RNA". It matches the Rfam family "Bacterial small subunit ribosomal RNA", at positions 524 to 776 of the family's 1533-position model. The record is from RNAcentral.
UACGGAGGGUCCAAGCGUUGUCCGGAAUCACUGGGUGUAAAGGGUGCGCAGGCGGGCGUGUAAGUCAGGGGUGAAAGCCACCGGCCCAACCGGUGAACUGCCCUUGAUACUGCACGUCUUGAGUCCCGGAGAGGCUAUCAGAAUUCGUGGUGUAGCGGUGAAAUGCGUAAAUAUCACGAGGAAUACCAGAAGCGUAGGCGGAUAGCUGGACGGGUACUGACGCUCAGGCACGAAAGCGUGGGGAGCGAACAGG